Molecule: ribosomal RNA, 578 nt
Filed under: uncultured Streptomyces sp.
Lineage: Bacteria; Bacillati; Actinomycetota; Actinomycetes; Kitasatosporales; Streptomycetaceae
Description: bacterial SSU rRNA
Rfam family: Bacterial small subunit ribosomal RNA
Source: RNAcentral
ACGGGUGAGUAACACGUGGGCAAUCUGCCCUUCACUCUGGGACAAGCCCUGGAAACGGGGUCUAAUACCGGAUAUCACUUCUACAGGCAUCUGUGGGGGUUGAAAGCUCCGGCGGUGAAGGAUGAGCCCGCGGCCUAUCAGCUUGUUGGUGAGGUAAUGGCCCACCAAGGCGACGACGGGUAGCCGGCCUGAGAGGGCGACCGGCCACACUGGGACUGAGACACGGCCCAGACUCCUACGGGAGGCAGCAGUGGGGAAUAUUGCACAAUGGGCGAAAGCCUGAUGCAGCGACGCCGCGUGAGGGAUGACGGCCUUCGGGUUGUAAACCUCUUUCAGCAGGGAAGAAGCGAGAGUGACGGUACCUGCAGAAGAAGCGCCGGCUAACUACGUGCCAGCAGCCGCGGUAAUACGUAGGGCGCAAGCGUUGUCCGGAAUUAUUGGGCGUAAAGAGCUCGUAGGCGGUCUGUCGCGUCGGAUGUGAAAGCCCGGGGCUUAACCCCGGGUCUGCAUUCGAUACGGGCAGACUAGAGUGUGGUAGGGGAGAUCGGAAUUCCUGGUGUAGCGGUGAAAUGCGCAGA